UUAAGCGACUAAGCGUACACGGUGGAUGCCCUGGCAGUCAGAGGCGAUGAAGGACGUGCUAAUCUGCGAUAAGCGUCGGUAAGGUGAUAUGAACCGUUAUAACCGGCGAUUUCCGAAUGGGGAAACCCAGUGUGAUUCGUCACACUAUCAUUAACUGAAUCCAUAGGUUAAUGAGGCGAACCGGGGGAACUGAAACAUCUAAGUACCCCGAGGAAAAGAAAUCAACCGAGAUUCCCCCAGUAGCGGCGAGCGAACGGGGAGCAGCCCAGAGCCUGAAUCAGUGUGUGUGUUAGUGGAAGCGUCUGGAAAGGCGCGCGAUACAGGGUGACAGCCCCGUACACAAAAAUGCACAUACUGUGAGCUCGAUGAGUAGGGCGGGACACGUGGUAUCCUGUCUGAAUAUGGGGGGACCAUCCUCCAAGGCUAAAUACUCCUGACUGACCGAUAGUGAACCAGUACCGUGAGGGAAAGGCGAAAAGAACCCCGGCGAGGGGAGUGAAAAAGAACCUGAAACCGUGUACGUACAAGCAGUGGGAGCCUCUUAAUGGGGUGACUGCGUACCUUUUGUAUAAUGGGUCAGCGACUUAUAUUCUGUAGCAAGGUUAACCGAAUAGGGGAGCCGAAGGGAAACCGAGUCUUAACUGGGCGUUAAGUUGCAGGGUAUAGACCCGAAACCCGGUGAUCUAGCCAUGGGCAGGUUGAAGGUUGGGUAACACUAACUGGAGGACCGAACCGACUAAUGUUGAAAAAUUAGCGGAUGACUUGUGGCUGGGGGUGAAAGGCCAAUCAAACCGGGAGAUAGCUGGUUCUCCCCGAAAGCUAUUUAGGUAGCGCCUCGUGAAUUCAUCUCCGGGGUAGAGCACUGUUUCGGCAAGGGGGUCAUCCCGACUUACCAACCCGAUGCAAACUGCGAAUACCGGAGAAUGUUAUCACGGGAGACACACGGCGGGUGCUAACGUCCGUCGUGAAGAGGAAACAACCCAGACCGCCAGCUAAGGUCCCAAAGUCAUGGUUAAGUGGGAAACGAUGUGGGAAGGCCCAGACAGCCAGGAUGUUGGCUUAGAAGCAGCCAUCAUUUAAAGAAAGCGUAAUAGCUCACUGGUCGAGUCGGCCUGCGCGGAAGAUGUAACGGGGCUAAACCAUGCACCGAAGCUGCGGCAGCGACGCUUAUGCGUUGUUGGGUAGGGGAGCGUUCUGUAAGCCUGCGAAGGUGUGCUGUGAGGCAUGCUGGAGGUAUCAGAAGUGCGAAUGCUGACAUAAGUAACGAUAAAGCGGGUGAAAAGCCCGCUCGCCGGAAGACCAAGGGUUCCUGUCCAACGUUAAUCGGGGCAGGGUGAGUCGACCCCUAAGGCGAGGCCGAAAGGCGUAGUCGAUGGGAAACAGGUUAAUAUUCCUGUACUUGGUGUUACUGCGAAGGGGGGACGGAGAAGGCUAUGUUGGCCGGGCGACGGUUGUCCCGGUUUAAGCGUGUAGGCUGGUUUUCCAGGCAAAUCCGGAAAAUCAAGGCUGAGGCGUGAUGACGAGGCACUACGGUGCUGAAGCAACAAAUGCCCUGCUUCCAGGAAAAGCCUCUAAGCAUCAGGUAACAUCAAAUCGUACCCCAAACCGACACAGGUGGUCAGGUAGAGAAUACCAAGGCGCUUGAGAGAACUCGGGUGAAGGAACUAGGCAAAAUGGUGCCGUAACUUCGGGAGAAGGCACGCUGAUAUGUAGGUGAAGUCCCUUGCGGAUGGAGCUGAAAUCAGUCGAAGAUACCAGCUGGCUGCAACUGUUUAUUAAAAACACAGCACUGUGCAAACACGAAAGUGGACGUAUACGGUGUGACGCCUGCCCGGUGCCGGAAGGUUAAUUGAUGGGGUUAGCGGUAACGCGAAGCUCUUGAUCGAAGCCCCGGUAAACGGCGGCCGUAACUAUAACGGUCCUAAGGUAGCGAAAUUCCUUGUCGGGUAAGUUCCGACCUGCACGAAUGGCGUAAUGAUGGCCAGGCUGUCUCCACCCGAGACUCAGUGAAAUUGAACUCGCUGUGAAGAUGCAGUGUACCCGCGGCAAGACGGAAAGACCCCGUGAACCUUUACUAUAGCUUGACACUGAACAUUGAGCCUUGAUGUGUAGGAUAGGUGGGAGGCUUUGAAGUGUGGACGCCAGUCUGCAUGGAGCCGACCUUGAAAUACCACCCUUUAAUGUUUGAUGUUCUAACGUUGGCCCCUAAUCGGGGUUGCGGACAGUGUCUGGUGGGUAGUUUGACUGGGGCGGUCUCCUCCUAAAGAGUAACGGAGGAGCACGAAGGUUGGCUAAUCCUGGUCGGACAUCAGGAGGUUAGUGCAAUGGCAUAAGCCAGCUUGACUGCGAGCGUGACGGCGCGAGCAGGUGCGAAAGCAGGUCAUAGUGAUCCGGUGGUUCUGAAUGGAAGGGCCAUCGCUCAACGGAUAAAAGGUACUCCGGGGAUAACAGGCUGAUACCGCCCAAGAGUUCAUAUCGACGGCGGUGUUUGGCACCUCGAUGUCGGCUCAUCACAUCCUGGGGCUGAAGUAGGUCCCAAGGGUAUGGCUGUUCGCCAUUUAAAGUGGUACGCGAGCUGGGUUUAGAACGUCGUGAGACAGUUCGGUCCCUAUCUGCCGUGGGCGCUGGAGAACUGAGGGGGGCUGCUCCUAGUACGAGAGGACCGGAGUGGACGCAUCACUGGUGUUCGGGUUGUCAUGCCAAUGGCACUGCCCGGUAGCUAAAUGCGGAAGAGAUAAGUGCUGAAAGCAUCUAAGCACGAAACUUGCCCCGAGAUGAGUUCUCCCUGACUCCCUGAGAGUCCUGAAGGAACGUUGAAGACGACGACGUUGAUAGGCCGGGUGUGUAAGCGCAGCGAUGCGUUGAGCUAACCGGUACUAAUGAACCGUGAGGCUUAACCU
This 2900-nucleotide ribosomal RNA is filed under the name Escherichia coli. RNAcentral's name for it is "23S ribosomal RNA". It matches the Rfam family "Bacterial large subunit ribosomal RNA". The record is from RNAcentral. Lineage: Bacteria; Pseudomonadati; Pseudomonadota; Gammaproteobacteria; Enterobacterales; Enterobacteriaceae.